This 256-nucleotide long non-coding RNA is filed under the name Hordeum vulgare. Its description in RNAcentral is "long non-coding RNA (HVUL_LNC006044)". The record is from RNAcentral. Lineage: Eukaryota; Viridiplantae; Streptophyta; Magnoliopsida; Poales; Poaceae.
UCCCGCAUAGCAAAGUAGUAGCAACAUCAAUCUCAAAACAUAAUGGAUACUAGGGAUCAAACCCCAUCUAAACUAACUCGAUUACAUGAUAGAUCUCAUCCAACCCAUCACCGUCCAGCAAGCCUACGAUGAGAUUACUCACGAACGGUGAAGAGCAUCAUGGAAUUGGCGAUGAAGGAAGGUUGAUGAUGACGACGGCGACGAUCUUCCCUCUCCGGAGCCCAGAACGGACUCCAGAUCUGCCCUCCAGAGGAAG